UGAACGCUGGCGGCGUGCUUAACACAUGCAAGUCGAACGAGAAAGGGAUUGCUUGCAAUCCUGAGUAGAGUGGCGCACGGGUGAGUAACACGUAGAUAAUCUACCUUCAAGACCGGAAUAACUAAUCGAAAGGCUAGCUAAUACCGGAUGAAGUAUGUGAGCAUAAGUUCAUAUAUGAAAGGUUGCCUCUAUUUAUAAGCAAUCACUUGGAGAUGAGUCUGCGUACCAUUAGCUUGUUGGUGGGGUAAAGGCCUACCAAGGCAGCGAUGGUUAGCUGGUCUGAGAGGAUGAUCAGUCACACUGGAACUGGAACACGGUCCAGACUCCUACGGGAGGCAGCAGUGAGGAAUUUUGCGCAAUGGGGGUAACCCUGACGCAGCAACGCCGCGUGAGUGAAGAAGGCCUUUGGGUCGUAAAGCUCUGUCAACUGGGAAGAAGUUAUUAUAUAUUAAUAGUGUAUAGUAUUGACGGUACCAGUGGAGGAAGCGCCGGCUAACUCC
This 500-nucleotide ribosomal RNA is filed under the name uncultured bacterium. RNAcentral's name for it is "bacterial SSU rRNA". It matches the Rfam family "Bacterial small subunit ribosomal RNA", at positions 30 to 504 of the family's 1533-position model. The record is from RNAcentral.